UACAGAGGGGGCAAGCGUUGUUCGGAAUUACUGGGCGUAAAGGGCGCGUAGGCGGUUCGUUAAGUCCUGUGUGAAAUCCCCCGGCUCAACUGGGGAACUGCACAGGAAACUAGCGGGCUUGAGUUCGGGAGAGGGAAGCGGAAUUCCGGGUGUAGCGGUGAAAUGCGUAGAUAUCCGGAGGAACACCGGUGGCGAAGGCGGCUUCCUGGACCGACACUGACGCUGAGGCGCGAAAGCUAGGGGAGCAAACGGG
This 253-nucleotide ribosomal RNA is filed under the name uncultured bacterium. RNAcentral describes it as "partial 16S ribosomal RNA". It matches the Rfam family "Bacterial small subunit ribosomal RNA", at positions 524 to 776 of the family's 1533-position model. The record is from RNAcentral.